This is a long non-coding RNA of Sardina pilchardus (European sardine), 1156 nucleotides long. RefSeq lists it as uncharacterized. The record is from RefSeq and is a predicted model, not a curated record. The transcript has 2 exons. Lineage: Eukaryota; Metazoa; Chordata; Actinopteri; Clupeiformes; Clupeidae.
UGUGUGUGUGUGUGUGUGUGUGUGUGUGUGUGUGUGUUUAAAAAGCCUCUCCGUUCUCUCUGUUUCAGUCCUUCCUUGCUGUUCUGCCAGACACUCAUCAUGGCAACUGAGGAGGGGGAGGACGAAGAAGAAGAUGAUGAUGACAAUGAUGAUGCUGACUGGUGCCUUUGAUGAUGAUGUGUAGUCAUAAAUCUCUGCUCCCAGGGGCGGAGUCCUGGGCCCUGUUCCCUUCCUACGUCCUACAUCCCCCGACUUCACUUCCUCUUCCUACUUCUGACUUCCUCUGCCCUCUUCCUGUUUCUUACACCCAAACUCCCUCCUUCCCAUUCCACUCCCCUUCCUUUGGGAACAGAGUCCAGGAGGCAGAAGAGAUUAUUAGACGUAUGCAUACCUCUCAGCCUCUCUCUGGGGAAACUCCAGAAAGUCUCUGAGAAACUCCAGAAUGUCUCCUGAGAAACUCCAGAGUGCAGGGGCGUCACUAGGUAUGUUUUACUGGGGCACAUGCCCCAGUAAAAAUAAGUUGUGCCCCAGUAAAAAAAAAUGUCUUACAUGUACACAAACGACGCAGUGCCCCAGUAAACAUGUACACAAAUGACACAGUGCCCCAGUAAACAUGUACACAAAAGACACAGUGCCCCAGUAAACCUUAAUUCCUAGUGACUCCCCUGCCAGAAUGUCUCCUGAGAAACUCCGGAAUGUCUCCUGAGUCUCCAGGAUGUCUACUGUGAAAUUCUCACCCUGCUUGCAGAUCUAGACGUCUAGUGACGUACAGUAUGCAGACUAGCAGACUUGAGUAGCCUAAUUACAGUAUAUUGUAAUAGUCUUCUCUUCCUUGAUUUUGAUGUGACGUCUCACAUUAUAUGACUAGGAUUUUUAUGCGUUUGAAAUGUGCUUUUAUAGUUAUACUUGUUUAUACCUGUAUGCGCAUAAUAGAAACUUGAAUAUAGCAACAGAAGAUCUUCUACAGAUGAUAGCUUCUGCACGCUAUGUUCUCUUGCGUCUACAAGCUCUUUUACUUGGUUGUGUGGAGGGGAACUUGUCACGGCAUCACAGCCAUGUGCAUUCAACUGACUGCUGUUUGCUCUUACUGGAUGCCUGAUAAGGCCACAUGAGAACACACCCCAUAAACAUAAUAAUAAUAAAACACCUGACCUUA